RNAcentral lists this ribosomal RNA (253 nucleotides) under uncultured bacterium. Its description in RNAcentral is "partial 16S ribosomal RNA". It matches the Rfam family "Bacterial small subunit ribosomal RNA", at positions 524 to 776 of the family's 1533-position model. The record is from RNAcentral.
UACGUAGGGGGCAAGCGUUGUCCGGAUUCAUUGGGCGUAAAGAGCGUGUAGGCGGCCAGGUAGGUCGGUUGUGAAAACUGGAGGCUCAACCUUCAGAGGUCGACCGAAACCAUCUGGCUAGAGUCCGGGAGAGGAGAGUGGAAUUCCUGGUGUAGCGGUGAAAUGCGCAGAUAUCAGGAGGAACACCUAUAGCGAAGGCAGCUUGCUGGGACGUUACUGACGCUAAGGCGCGAAAGCGUGGGGAGCGAACAGG